Molecule: ribosomal RNA, 1189 nt
Filed under: Escherichia coli
Lineage: Bacteria; Pseudomonadati; Pseudomonadota; Gammaproteobacteria; Enterobacterales; Enterobacteriaceae
Description: partial 23S ribosomal RNA
Rfam family: Bacterial large subunit ribosomal RNA
Source: RNAcentral
GGUUAAGCGACUAAGCGUACACGGUGGAUGCCCUGGCAGUCAGAGGCGAUGAAGGACGUGCUAAUCUGCGAUAAGCGUCGGUAAGGUGAUAUGAACCGUUAUAACCGGCGAUUUCCGAAUGGGGAAACCCAGUGUGUUUCGACACACUAUCAUUAACUGAAUCCAUAGGUUAAUGAGGCGAACCGGGGGAACUGAAACAUCUAAGUACCCCGAGGAAAAGAAAUCAACCGAGAUUCCCCCAGUAGCGGCGAGCGAACGGGGAGCAGCCCAGAGCCUGAAUCAGUAUGUGUGUUAGUGGAAGCGUCUGGAAAGGCGCGCGAUACAGGGUGACAGCCCCGUACACAAAAAUGCACAUGCUGUGAGCUCGAUGAGUAGGGCGGGACACGUGGUAUCCUGUCUGAAUAUGGGGGGACCAUCCUCCAAGGCUAAAUACUCCUGACUGACCGAUAGUGAACCAGUACCGUGAGGGAAAGGCGAAAAGAACCCCGGCGAGGGGAGUGAAAAAGAACCUGAAACCGUGUACGUACAAGCAGUGGGAGCACGCUUAGGCGUGUGACUGCGUACCUUUUGUAUAAUGGGUCAGCGACUUAUAUUCUGUAGCAAGGUUAACCGAAUAGGGGAGCCGAAGGGAAACCGAGUCUUAACUGGGCGUUAAGUUGCAGGGUAUAGACCCGAAACCCGGUGAUCUAGCCAUGGGCAGGUUGAAGGUUGGGUAACACUAACUGGAGGACCGAACCGACUAAUGUUGAAAAAUUAGCGGAUGACUUGUGGCUGGGGGUGAAAGGCCAAUCAAACCGGGAGAUAGCUGGUUCUCCCCGAAAGCUAUUUAGGUAGCGCCUCGUGAAUUCAUCUCCGGGGGUAGAGCACUGUUUCGGCAAGGGGGUCAUCCCGACUUACCAACCCGAUGCAAACUGCGAAUACCGGAGAAUGUUAUCACGGGAGACACACGGCGGGUGCUAACGUCCGUCGUGAAGAGGGAAACAACCCAGACCGCCAGCUAAGGUCCCAAAGUCAUGGUUAAGUGGGAAACGAUGUGGGAAGGCCCAGACAGCCAGGAUGUUGGCUUAGAAGCAGCCAUCAUUUAAAGAAAGCGUAAUAGCUCACUGGUCGAGUCGGCCUGCGCGGAAGAUGUAACGGGGCUAAACCAUGCACCGAAGCUGCGGCAGCGACGCUGAUGCGUUGUUGGGUA